AUUAUAAUUAUAGCGCCCGGACUCACAAUUAAACUAAUUGAUAAUGGACAAUGGACAAUUUACAAUUAAAAAUCUUCUAAACCAUUAUCAAUUUUCAAUUCUCAAUUGCAGUUAGUUGUGAGUUGACGAGGAAGGGGAAUUAUCGAUCAAUCGGCGGAUGCCCCUAGGUUAGUAGCUAUUAACCUAAAGAGGUAAGGAACUUCUUAAACUAAGCUCUUAAAACUUGUGAGUAAUUACAAGGAUAAAGGAGCUUAGAAUAGUAUUG
RNAcentral lists this non-coding RNA (265 nucleotides) under Halobacteroides halobius. RNAcentral describes it as "GlcN6P sequence". It matches the Rfam family "glmS glucosamine-6-phosphate activated ribozyme aptamer". From Rfam's summary of the family: This entry contains a glucosamine-6-phosphate activated ribozyme that is found in the mRNA for GlmS. GlmS is an enzyme that uses fructose-6-phosphate and glutamine to generate glucosamine-6-phosphate. The ribozyme catalyses self cleavage of the glmS mRNA that is thought to regulate GlmS activity. The record is from RNAcentral. RNAcentral also lists the same sequence under 1 other name. Lineage: Bacteria; Bacillati; Bacillota; Clostridia; Halanaerobiales; Halobacteroidaceae.